Poecilia reticulata (guppy) is the source of this 1269-nucleotide non-coding RNA. NCBI's taxonomy places the organism in Eukaryota, Metazoa, Chordata, Actinopteri, Cyprinodontiformes, Poeciliidae. The record is from RefSeq and is a predicted model, not a curated record.
UAGGACGCAAUUUUCUUGAUCGAAACCUACUUCCCUUUUUGGGCAUGUAAGAGUGGUCUAAAAAAAUCUGCUACAUUAGAGCCUUGAAUCUUUGACUCACGAGGCUGACUCUAGCAUUCAGACUUCUUAUGUGAGACUCUCUUUAUUUGAAUGUGUGUAGAUUUACAGACUGGGACCCUUUUCAGCACCAAUUUUAGGAAAGCGUCACUCUUAGGUAGAAUGUGUAAUAUAGAAAGAAAUGGAAAAAAUAUAGUGAAGCCCUUUGGGGAAGUACAGAAAUAAUCAACAGAGUGACUUCGCUGUGAACAGUAGCUGUAGGUAUUGCACCAUAUGAAACCUAAAAGUUGCUUCCUCAAGAUGAAAACUGGGUUUUAAUUUCCAAUUAACGAUUACAUUCAUCAAGUAACAGUUCUUUUUCUCAACACCCGUACUGCUGAAAAGAAAACAAACAAAACUCAAUCAUUUAUAGCACUUAGUGUUAUGCACAUUUUUUAAAAGUUGAAGGAAAUGAAAGAGAGUGCUACACUGUUGGUGACUCAAGAUGACUAGUUUCCUCUUUGUUUAUUUAUACACGUAUGUGCUCGUGUAAGUGCCCUAAACUUCCCUUUCCUACAAACUACAAAACAAGACUUUGCUAUUAUUCUUGCAAUAAGUGUUUGAAGUCAAAUGCGUAAAAGGAAAACUGCUAAAGUUAAGUUUGUUACUGUAUUUCUGGGUAGUUGGUGAGAAGGAAGCCGAGAUUAGGUAAUAAGGGUGCCUACAAAAAGAAGGAAGAGGCAGGGGAAGUAAAGAAAGACUCUCACAUUAAAAAUAACCAGAGAGAGAAAUGCAGAAGAAAAUGGCAUGCAGGUGUGGCUGUUCCUGAUUCAGUUUGAUGAUCUUUGUAUACGCAAGAAAAAAAACGUCUUCACACAGAGAGUGACAGGACUAAAUCAAGAUGUUUAUUCUCACCUGGCUAAUUUUACUCUCCAUCAGUUCCAGCUCAGGUAUAAAGCAUAUUUCAACAGAACUCUGUUACUAAAAGUAAAUAAGCCUAACUCAUUAAAUCCACAAUGCCUUGUUGAAUACUCUAGUCUCGUCCAGUUUCCACUCAUCAUUAAACAACAUAAAACUGCAGGGGAAUUUUUAGAAAGAUUUGCUAAUUUUAACUAGAGCUGUUAAUGUGACCUGACCAAAAAAGUAUGUGGGUGUUGCAUUUCUACAUUUCUGUUUCAAACAUAUACACUGCACAAGAGAUGUAACUACAUUAAUAAAGAAGUUUAAAUGACA